GAUGAACGCUGGCGGCGUGCUUAACACAUGCAAGUCGAACGGAAAGGCCCAAGCUUGCUUGGGUACUCGAGUGGCGAACGGGUGAGUAACACGUGGGUGAUCUGCCCUGCACUUCGGGAUAAGCCUGGGAAACUGGGUCUAAUACCGGAUAGGACGAUGGUUUGGAUGCCAUUGUGGAAAGUUUUUUCGGUGUGGGAUGAGCUCGCGGCCUAUCAGCUUGUUGGUGGGGUAAUGGCGUAGCAAGGCGUCGACGGGUAGCCGGCCUGAGAGGGUGUACGGCCACAUUGGGACUGAGAGGCGGCCCAGACUGCUACGGGAGGCAGCAGUGGGGAAUAUUGGAUAAUGGGCGACAGCCUGAGGCAGCGACGCCGCGGGGGUGAUGACGGCCUUCGUGUUGUAAACUCCUUUCGCUAGGGACGAAGCGUUUUUGUGACGGUACCUGGAGAGGAAGCACCGGCUAACUACGUG
Molecule: ribosomal RNA, 468 nt
Filed under: uncultured bacterium
Lineage: Bacteria
Description: partial 16S ribosomal RNA
Rfam family: Bacterial small subunit ribosomal RNA
Source: RNAcentral